RNAcentral lists this ribosomal RNA (386 nucleotides) under Telonemia sp. Its description in RNAcentral is "partial small subunit ribosomal RNA". It matches the Rfam family "Eukaryotic small subunit ribosomal RNA", at positions 582 to 975 of the family's 1831-position model. The record is from RNAcentral. Lineage: Eukaryota; Telonemia.
AUUCCAGCUCCAAUAGCGUAUAUUAAAGUUGUUGCAGUUAAAAAGCUCGUAGUUGGAUCUCAGGGUGAGCUCAGUUGGUCGGCCUAAUUGGUCAGAACUGGCUGACUCUCCCUUGUUUCUGAAUCCCGGUCGGAGUUAAUUCUUCGUUCGUGGACUUCAGAUCGUUUACCUUGAAAAAAUUAGAGUGUUCAAAGCGGGCGUUUGCUUGAAUACAUUAGCAUGGAAUAAUGGAAUAGGACCCUGGUUCUAUUUUGUUGGUUUUGAGGACCAGAGUAAUGAUUAAUAGGGAUAGUUGGGGGCAUUCAUAUUUAAUUGUCAGAGGUGAAAUUCUUGGAUUUAUGAAAGAUGAACUUCUGCGAAAGCAUUUGCCAAGGAUGUUUUCAUUA